Molecule: ribosomal RNA, 207 nt
Filed under: uncultured bacterium
Lineage: Bacteria
Description: partial 16S ribosomal RNA
Rfam family: Bacterial small subunit ribosomal RNA
Source: RNAcentral
CGCGUAGGCGGACCAUCAAGUCGGAUGUGAGAACUGUCGGCUCAACUGACAGCCUGCACUCGAUACUGGUGGUCUUGAGUACAGGAGAGGAGAGUGGAAUUCCAGGUGUAGCGGUGAAAUGCGUAGAUAUCUGGAAGAACACCAGUAGCGAAGGCGGCUCUCUGGACUGAUACUGACGCUAAAGCGCGAAGGCUUGGGGAGCAAACA